This 1318-nucleotide ribosomal RNA is filed under the name marine metagenome. Its description in RNAcentral is "bacterial LSU rRNA". It matches the Rfam family "Bacterial large subunit ribosomal RNA", at positions 708 to 2070 of the family's 2925-position model. The record is from RNAcentral.
AGUAGACCCGAAACUGAGUGAGCAAUCCAUGACCAGGGUGAGUCUUGAUGAUAAAUCAAGAGGAGGCCCGAACCCACGCGCCGUGCAACACGCGGGGAUGAGUUGUGGAUAGCGGAGAAAUUCCAAUCGAACUCAGUAAUAGCUGGUUCUCCUCGAAAUAGCUUUAGGGCUAGCUGUAUGUGUUCCUUCUGGGGGUAGAGCACUGGAUGGAAAGUGGGUCCUUCGGGAUACCCUUUCCAAUCAAACUCCGAAUACCAGAAGUCAAAAACAUGCAAGUUAGACUAUGGGGGCUAAGCUUCAUAGUCGAAAGGGAAACAGCCCAGAUCGUCAAUUAAGGUCCCUAAAUCACUGCUAAGUGUUAAAGGUGGUGUUAAUUCUUAUACAACCAGGAAGUUGGCUUAGAAGCAGCCAUCUUUUAAAGAUAGCGUAACAGCUCACUGGUCAAGAGUUUUCGCGCCGAAAAUGUACCGGGGCUAAGCAGUGUACCGAAAUUACGAAUUCAUGAUCUCUUCGGAGCAUCAUGAGUGGUAGAGGAGCAUUCCUAUCUGCGUCGAAGCAGGAUCCGCGAGGGCCUGUGGAGCGAUGGGAAGAGAGAAUGCAGGCACAAGUAGCAAAAAUGCCAGUGAAAGUCUGGCACACCGAAAACCCAAGGUUUCCAGGGCAACGUGAAUCGUCCCUGGGUUAGUCGAUCCUAAGGCGAGGCCGAAAGGCGUAGUCGAUGGAAGAGCAGGUUAAUAUUCCUGCACUUGGUAUAGUUUGUUGUAUUGCCGCAUCUCAACGGCACGAGCGUUUUUUGGCUAUAGACGUUCCGCAAGGUAAAGACAACCUCUCCGGAGUGAGUCAAUUCGUGUUAGAGAGAUGCCUAGAAAAACAGUACAACGCUAGGCUAUAUCAAUCCGUACCGCAAACCGACACAGGUGGGUAGGUCGAGAAGACCAAGGCGCACGAGAGAAACAUGGUUAAGGAACUCGGCAAAACAGCGGCCGUAACUUCGGGAUAAGGCCUGCCCUGAGCAAUCAGGGCCGCAGCGAAAGACUACACGCGACUGUUUACCAAAAACACAGCUCUCUGCUAAAUCGUAAGAUGAUGUAUAGGGGGCGAUGCCUGGCCAGUGUCAGAACGUUAAAGGGAUGGGUUAUCCUUCGGGAGAAGCUUUGAACUGAAGCGCUGAUGAACGCCGGCGAUAACUAUAAUCGUCCUAAGGUAGCGAAAUUCCUUGUCGGGUGAGUUCCGACCCGCAUGAAUGGCACAACGAUGUGUAGACUGUCUUGACCAUGUACUCGGCGAAAAUGCAAUUGUCGUGAAGAUGCGACAUUGC